Molecule: ribosomal RNA, 406 nt
Filed under: uncultured bacterium
Lineage: Bacteria
Description: partial 16S ribosomal RNA
Rfam family: Bacterial small subunit ribosomal RNA
Source: RNAcentral
AUUGAACGCUGGCGGCAGGCCUAACACAUGCAAGUCGAACGAGUGGCGGACGGGUGAGUAAUGUCUGGGAAACUGCCCGAUGGAGGGGGAUAACUACUGGAAACGGUAGCUAAUACCGCAUACCAUCGGAUGUGCCCAGGUGGGAUUAGCUAGUAGGUGGGGUAACGGCUCACCUAGGCGACGAUCCCUAGCUGGUCUGAGAGGAUGACCAGCCACACCUGAACUGGGACACGGUCCAGACUCCUACGUGACGCAGCAGUGGGAAAUAUUGCACAAUGGGCGCAAGCCUGAGUCAGCCAUGCCGCGUGUAUGAAGAAGGCCUUCGGGUUGUAAAGUACUUUAAGCGAGGAGGCGUUACUCGCAGAAGAAGCACCGGCUAACUCCGUGCCAGCAGCCGCGGUAAUUC